UUUCCGUAGGUGAACCUGCGGAAGGAUCAUUAACACGUUCGAGGCUGUGCCUCUUGCUCACCACAUGUCGACUCGGUCCCGUUUGUUUUUUACAACCGUUUACAUAUUACAACUAAAGUUAUUUUUAUAAAAAAAUACAACUCUUAGCAAUGGAUAUCUUGGUUCCC
This 167-nucleotide unclassified non-coding RNA is filed under the name plant metagenome. RNAcentral describes it as "partial contains small subunit ribosomal RNA, internal transcribed spacer 1, and 5.8S ribosomal RNA". The record is from RNAcentral.